Molecule: long non-coding RNA, 476 nt
Organism: Dreissena polymorpha
Lineage: Eukaryota; Metazoa; Mollusca; Bivalvia; Myida; Dreissenidae
Exons: 5
Source: RefSeq, a predicted model, not a curated record
UUCAGUUGUCCAAGGCUUCAUUGCAGAAAACAAAACGCAUUGACAUAUAGACAGUGGUUCGGAUAAAGGAUAAAACCCUCUCCACCUGAUUCCACAUAGAUGAUGUGUCAGUGAAACUGAAAGUGGCAGAUUGAAGAUAUGCAGGUAUAUUGUCGUGGCCUAACGCAGGGCUAGGCAGUUGAUUGCGCUCUCCAGUACGUGUCAUGCGACUACAACUAGUGCUUGGUGCGUAUACCAGAGACGCUAGGCAUAAAUGGGUCGCUCUCAUAGUGAUGAUCGAACCAGUGACCUUCCGGUCGCUAGGCGGACGCCAUUUACAAAAUGGCAACCUCUUUAUUGGCAGAGCUUCGAAGACACUCUCACCGUCUACAAAACUCCUGGCGAAAUAGGCUCGAGAAAGCAACCUGAAGAAGACGAAGUUUGCGGCAUACCAGUACAAUGAAGUCGGACAUUAACAGUAUUACUGUAUGCAAGGU